Molecule: ribosomal RNA, 484 nt
Filed under: uncultured bacterium
Lineage: Bacteria
Description: partial 16S ribosomal RNA
Rfam family: Bacterial small subunit ribosomal RNA
Source: RNAcentral
AUUGAACGCUGGCGGCAGGCCUAACACAUGCAAGUCGAGCGGAUGAAGGGAGCUUGCUCCUGGAUUCAGCGGCGGACGGGUGAGUAAUGCCUAGGAAUCUGCCUGGUAGUGGGGGAUAACGUCCGGAAACGGGCGCUAAUACCGCAUACGUCCUGAGGGAGAAAGUGGGGGAUCUUCGGACCUCACGCUAUCAGAUGAGCCUAGGUCGGAUUAGCUAGUUGGUGGGGUAAAGGCCUACCAAGGCGACGAUCCGUAACUGGUCUGAGAGGAUGAUCAGUCACACUGGAACUUAGACACGGUCCUGACUCCUACGGGAGGCGGCAGUGGGGAAUAUUGGACAAUGGGCGAAAGCCUGAUCCAUCCAUGCCGCGUGUGUGAAGAAGGUCUUCGGAUUGUAAAGCACUUUAAGUUGGGAGGAAGGGCAGUAAGUUAAUACCUUGCUGUUUUGACGUUACCAACAGAAUAAGCACCGGCUAACUUCGUG